GUACACGCUGUGACUAGCAUAUCAAUAAGCGGAGGAAAAGAAACUAACAAGGAUUCCCCUAGUAACGGCGAGUGAAGCGGGAAGAGCUCAAAUUUGAAAUCUUAAAGGGUUUCCCUUUACGAAUUGUAGUUUAAAGAAGUGUUUUCUGUUGAGGUUUUGGUAAAAGUCCUUUGGAAUAGGACAUCAUAGAGGGUGAGAAUCCCGUAUUUGACCUUUACUUUCAACUUUGUGAUACACUUUCAAAGAGUCGGAUUGUUUGGGAAUGCAGUCCAAAAUGGGUGGUAAAUUUCAUCUAAAGCUAAAUAUUGGCGAGAGACCGAUAGCGAACGAGUACCGUGAGGGAAAGAUGAAAAGAACUUUGAAAAGAGAGUUAAACAGUACGUGAAAUUGUCAAAAGGGAAGCGUUUGACACCAGUGUUGUUUUUCUGAAAAUCAAUUAAAGAACUGUUUAUGCUAAGCUGUUUAGACUUUAUCAGCUAUCUGUUUAGUUUUGAGCUUUUCUUUAAUGCACUUUUCAGUUAACAAGUCAACAUCAAUUUCUUUUGCUGUAAAAAAGCUUGAGGAAGGUGGCUUGAGAUUCGUCUUAAGUGUUUAUAGCCUCUUGCCUAUGCAGUCGGAGAGAUUGAGGUCUGCAGCGUAGAUCCUUCGGGGCUAAAUGCAUUUGUGCUAAGUUAUAGCAUUUUAUAGACAACUUGUUGACUAUGAUUUGUCUUGUAGCUUACUCGCUUAUGUUAUUUUACCUACGCUUAGGAUGUUGACGAGACUGUCGAUCU
This 773-nucleotide ribosomal RNA is filed under the name uncultured Neocallimastigales. Its description in RNAcentral is "partial large subunit ribosomal RNA". It matches the Rfam family "Eukaryotic large subunit ribosomal RNA", at positions 22 to 646 of the family's 3401-position model. Lineage: Eukaryota; Fungi; Neocallimastigomycota; Neocallimastigomycetes; Neocallimastigales. The record is from RNAcentral.